UACGUAGGGGGCAAGCGUUGUCCGGAAUCAUUGGGCGUAAAGAGCGUGUAGGCGGCUCGGUAAGUCCGCUGUGAAAGUCCAGGGCUCAACCCUGGAAUGCCGGUGGAAACUGUCGAGCUAGAGUCCGGAAGAGGCGAGUGGAAUUCCUGGUGUAGCGGUGAAAUGCGCAGAUAUCAGGAGGAACACCAAUGGCGAAGGCGGCGUUCUGGACUGCAACUGACACUGAAAAACGAAAGCCAGGGGAGCAAACGGG
RNAcentral lists this ribosomal RNA (253 nucleotides) under uncultured bacterium. RNAcentral's name for it is "partial 16S ribosomal RNA". It matches the Rfam family "Bacterial small subunit ribosomal RNA", at positions 524 to 776 of the family's 1533-position model. The record is from RNAcentral.